AUGCGGCUACUCAGCAUCUGGAUGGCAUGGGGAACAAUUAUGGCAGACCUGAGUCAUGGAGAUUCAGUCACCCAAUUAUUCUCCUCAGAUGUCCAGAGGGAAGGAGAGGCGGUGAUUCUAAACUGUACCUAUGAUACCACAUCGAGCUACUACACAUUAUACUGGUACCGACAGUACCUAGACACUCAGCCGGAGUACAUAGUGUCAAAAUAUAUUACUGGCAGUGAGGAUAAAGCAGAUUUUGCGAAAAGUCGUUUCUUUGCAGAACUUCAGACCUCGAACAAAUUCAUCAAUUUGACAAUCACUGAGCUAGAACUGACUGACGCUGCAAUAUAUUAUUGUGCUCUCCGGAACCACACAGUGACGAUAAACAGUUUUGCCCCGUACAAAAACUACCUUUGGACCAUAGGUUGA
This is a non-coding RNA of Chiloscyllium plagiosum (whitespotted bambooshark), 414 nucleotides long. The record is from the annotation of a RefSeq genome assembly. Lineage: Eukaryota; Metazoa; Chordata; Chondrichthyes; Orectolobiformes; Hemiscylliidae.